CCCGCGGUCAGACGGAAAGACCCCGUGCACCUUUACUACAACUUCGCAGUGGCGUUAGUGGCGAUAUGUGUAGGAUAGGCGGGAGGCUUUGAAGCGACGGCGCCAGCUGUCGUGGAGCUACCCUUGAAAUACCGCCCUUAUACGUUCUGAUGUCUAACCGCGGCCCGUUAUCCGGGUCCGGGACCCUGCAUGGUGGGUAGUUUGACUGGGGCGGUCGCCUCCUAAAGAGUAACGGAGGCGCGCGAAGGUGGGCUCAGAGCGGUCGGAAAUCGCUCGUUGAGUGCAAUGGCAUAAGCCUGCCUGACUGUGAGACUGACAGGUCGAACAGAGUCGAAAGACGGCCAUAGUGAUCCGGUGGUCCCGAGUGGAAGGGCCAUCGCUCAACGGAUAAAAGGUACUCCGGGG
RNAcentral lists this ribosomal RNA (405 nucleotides) under Isochrysis galbana. Its description in RNAcentral is "partial Bacterial large subunit ribosomal RNA". It matches the Rfam family "Bacterial large subunit ribosomal RNA", at positions 2069 to 2473 of the family's 2925-position model. The record is from RNAcentral. Lineage: Eukaryota; Haptophyta; Isochrysidales; Isochrysidaceae.